AGCGAACGCUGGCGGCAGGCUUAACACAUGCAAGUCGAACGCCCCGCCAGGGAGUGGCAGACGGGUGAGUAACACGUGGGAACGUACCCUUUGGUUCGGAAUAACUUGGGGAAACUCACGCUAAUACCGGAUAAGCCCUUAUGGGGAAAGGUUUACUGCCGACGGAUCGGCCCGCGUCUGAUUAGCUAGGUGGUGAGGUAAUGGCUCACCAAGGCGACGAUCAGUAGCUGGUCUGAGAGGAUGAUCAGCCACACUGGGACUGAGACACGGCCCAGACUCCUACGGGAGGCAGCAGUGGGGAAUAUUGGACAAUGGGGGCAACCCUGAUCCAGCCAUGCCGCGUGAGUGAUGAAGGCCUUAGGGUUGUAAAGCUCCUUUACCCGGGACGAUAAUGACUGUACCGGGAGAAUAAGCCCCGGCUAACUUCGUGCCAGCCGCCGCGGUAA
Molecule: ribosomal RNA, 446 nt
Filed under: uncultured bacterium
Lineage: Bacteria
Description: partial 16S ribosomal RNA
Rfam family: Bacterial small subunit ribosomal RNA
Source: RNAcentral